CUGACUGUAGUGAUGAAGAAGCUCAUGAUGCCAUGAUUUCAAGGAAGAUGGUGGGAGGAGAAAGCUAACAUUGAUAGGAAAUAGCAAUGAAGAGCAAACAGGACCUCUCCUCUUCCUCUGGACCCCAUGGAGGCAGAGUCCUCUGGGAGAGCCCAACAAACAGGGAUAGAUGAAAGUGGUAAGAAGGUGGUCAGUCCUGCACAGGACACUGGAUAUCACAGGAAGGAGGAGAGAGCCCACAGGACCUUUGCAGGAUCCAUGCCACCACAUGAGUGACUAUGACUGUAAAAAAUAACUUCUGGGAAUAAAAAAGAUAGCUUUCACAAGAAGUGGAAAAACUUGCAGAUACAAGCCCAAAGGCCAGAGCUAAAAGAAAUGGCACGUGAAAAAGUUUUUAUUACUUCAUUUUCUUGUGCUGCUACAAAGAUCACUUCUUUUCAUGAUGGCUUUUUUGCACAACAUGCCUGGCUCUGGGACUUCUGUCGGACCGCCUUUGUGAAGAGCAUUUCAUUACUACAGCACAUGGCUAGACUGAAACAAGAAUAAU
Molecule: long non-coding RNA, 547 nt
Organism: Suricata suricatta (meerkat)
Lineage: Eukaryota; Metazoa; Chordata; Mammalia; Carnivora; Herpestidae
Exons: 3
Source: RefSeq, a predicted model, not a curated record